This 471-nucleotide ribosomal RNA is filed under the name uncultured organism. RNAcentral describes it as "partial 16S ribosomal RNA". It matches the Rfam family "Bacterial small subunit ribosomal RNA", at positions 335 to 798 of the family's 1533-position model. The record is from RNAcentral.
ACUCCUGCGGGAGGCAGCAGUGGGGAAUUUUGGACAAUGGGCGAAAGCCUGAUCCAGCAAUGCCGCGUGAGUGAAGAAGGCCUUCGGGUUGUAAAGCUCUUUUGUCAGGGAAGAAACGGUGAAAGCUAAUAUCUUUUGCUAAUGACGGUACCUGAAGAAUAAGCACCGGCUAACUACGUGCCAGCAGCCGCGGUAAUACGUAGGGUGCAAGCGUUAAUCGGAAUUACUGGGCGUAAAGCGUGCGCAGGCGGUUUUGUAAGUCUGAUGUGAAAUCCCCGGGCUCAACCUGGGAAUUGCAUUGGAGACUGCAAGGCUAGAAUCUGGCAGAGGGGGGUAGAAUUCCACGUGUAGCAGUGAAAUGCGUAGAUAUGUGGAGGAACACCGAUGGCGAAGGCAGCCCCCUGGGUCAAGAUUGACGCUCAUGCACGAAAGCGAGGGGAGCAAACAGGAUUAGAAACCCUUGUAGUCCCA